GUUGGAAUUGGCAGUUCUAUUGGCAGGAACCUCUAGACUGUUUUCCAUAGUGGCUGCAUCUAUUUACAUUCCCACCAGCAAUGCACGGUGAUUUUCUUUUCUCUCCGUCCUUGCUAACACUUGUUAUUUCUUAUCUUUUUGAUGAUAGCCCUUCUAACAGGCAUGAGGUGGUAUCUCACUGUGGUUUUGAUUUGCAUUCCCCUGAUGAUUAAUGAUGUUGAGAACCUUUUCAGGUACUGUUGGCUAUUUUCUGUCUUCUUUGGAAAAAUGUCUGGAUCCUCUGCCCAUUUUUUAAUUGAAUUGUUUUUGCUACUCAGUUAUAUGAGUUCUUUAUGUAUUUUGGAUAUUAACCCCUUAUCAGAUACAUGAUUUGCAGAUAUUUUCUACAGUGUGGUAGGUUGUCUUUUUGACUAGUUUAGAAAUAAGAAACAUUUCUGUCUUUUGAGGAGAGAAGUUACACAAGGACAAAAGAAAAUUACACAUACAAAACUUGAGGGAAGUGGUAGGGGAAGAAGGGCUGCUUCUGAAUGAGAUGAGAGUGUUGGUAAGUGGAAAGAGGAAAAAUGAGAGGAAAUGUGAAGAUUCAGGAUUGAAUGAAUACAUAAUAGAAGAGGGAUAAUCGAUAGGGCAAGAUCUUGUGUUAUUACAGCAUCGACUCUAUUUUUGUGUGGAAAAUGUGUAUGUUAAAAGCAUCCUAGAAAUGUGUUUGCUAUUUAUCUAUAGUAACAUCUGAAAACACAUUUGAAAGUGCUUUAGAAUAGGCACUUAAAGAAAGGGCCAGAUAUUAAAUAUUGUAGGCUUUGUGGGUCACAUGUGGUCUCUAUUGCAUAUGCUUCUGCUUUUCUUCCUUUGCUUUCUUCUUUUUCCUUCCUCUUUAAAACUGUAAAAUCAUUCUUAGCUCAUUUGCCAUACUAAAAACAGGCCAUUGGCCAGAUUUGGCCUGUAGGUCAUAGUUUGCUGACCCUUGCUUUAGAACUUAAUUAUCCUAAUAGAACAUUUGGUUCCACCACCCGACCAAAAAAAACCCUUUUCUCUCUCUCUCUCAAUAAGUGAAGACAGAAAUAGGUCUUUCUUUGAGAAUAAAACAUUUUAAUACAUUUGAAUGUAUCUGACCCCUGACCAUCAUCACUCAGAUUUGUGAAGAUAGUCUGUUUCCUUCUCUGGACCAUAAUGGCAGGUGUAACAAAUAAUGUUUAACAGAACAAAUAAUGUUUAACAGAAAUAAUACUGCGUGACAUCUGAAAACAGGAUUAUGAGAGGUGAUACACCUUCUGCCCCUCUCUCCUCUCUUCUUCUCUCUCUCCACAUACAUUUGGAGCUCUAAGGUGCCGUGUAGUAAUAGCUACCCUGAAGUUUCCGUGCUGAAAAGACCAUGGGGAGAUCACAUAGACAUAGGGAGAGAUGUCUGAGGAAACCCAGCUGUUCCUGCCCCCAGCUAUUUUAAGUCUUCCCAGAGCAGGCACCAUGCAUAUGAAUGAGCAAGUCCCAGAUGAUUUCAGUACCAGCUACCAUCUGCUGCAAGCUCAUGAGACACCCUAAGCAAGAAACUUAGUCAAGCCCCAGAACCAUGAGAGACAAUAGUAAAACUGUGGUUGUUGUUUUAAGCCAAAGUUUUAGGGUAAUUUGUUACAUAGCAAUAGAUAAUCAGAAAUGAUUUUGAGACCUGGAAAUGGAGUGUUAUUAGAACAAAACCUAAGACAUAUGGCAGUGGCUUUGCAGCUGAGCUGCCUGCAUACGUUGGAAGGGCCUUGAAGAGAUUAACAGCAGAAAUCUGAUGGAUCUUGAGGUUGUCAGUAGGGCUUAAAGGAAAGUGAGGAGAAAAGUUAUUAAAGCUGGGGGAAAAGCCCUUGUAUGAUAAUGUAGAAAUACAAAAUACACUUAACGAACUUAUAGAUAAGCCUGAACAGUUUUCAGGCUAAAGUUUUAAACUUUUACCUGGUUUAAAAGAGCUGAUAUGAAAUACUAGUAAUGAUGAGCUAGAGAAGAAAUUACUCCGUUUUCAAGCAAAAUUUUGAGGAAAUACAUUAAGUCAAAACUUGCUGGGUUAGAAAAUAAAACCCUUUUCCGACUGCCAGUCUCUUGCAGCAGCAUAUUCCCAAAGUAAGGAAAAGGGUCUCAGGACAAAAUCAGAUUCACAUCUCUGUUAUAAAAAGUUCUCAGGGUAAAGAUGAAGCUAAAGAUUUGAUUGUGAAAUCCUUUUUUAAGACACCAGAAGAGGGAAAAAUUUGCAAUUUAGGAUACUCUACCCAGCAAAGUUAUCAUUUAGAAUAGAAGAGAUAAUUUCUCAGAUAAAUAAAAACUAAAUAUGGCAAUGCUAAACUUUUCUAAAGGAAAUAUUGAAAGGUCUUCUCUAAAUAGAAAGGAAAUAAGAGUCUUUAGGAAAGAUAAAAUCACAAUUGCAAAAACAGUACACAGAUUUAAGAAA
RNAcentral lists this long non-coding RNA (2425 nucleotides) under Sus scrofa (pig). Its description in RNAcentral is "lncRNA (ENSSSCG00025002019.1)". Lineage: Eukaryota; Metazoa; Chordata; Mammalia; Artiodactyla; Suidae. The record is from RNAcentral.